GCCUUCGUGGUGUAAUGGUCAGCACACUGAGCCGGUAUUUCAGAGGUCCGCGGUUCGAUCCCCCCCGAAGGCA
This 73-nucleotide transfer RNA is filed under the name Stegodyphus mimosarum. It matches the Rfam family "tRNA". Rfam says of the family: Transfer RNA (tRNA) molecules are approximately 80 nucleotides in length. Their secondary structure includes four short double-helical elements and three loops (D, anti-codon, and T loops). The record is from Rfam by way of RNAcentral. Lineage: Eukaryota; Metazoa; Arthropoda; Arachnida; Araneae; Eresidae.